AGUGAACGCUGGCGGUAGGCCUAACACAUGCAAGUCGAACGGCAGCACAGUAAGAGCUUGCUCUUACGGGUGGCGAGUGGCGGACGGGUGAGGAAUACAUCGGAAUCUACUUUUUCGUGGGGGAUAACGUAGGGAAACUUACGCUAAUACCGCAUACGACCUACGGGUGAAAGCAGGGGAUCUUCGGACCUUGCGCGAUUGAAUGAGCCGAUGUCGGAUUAGCUAGUUGGCGGGGUAAAGGGCCACCAAGGCGACGAUCCGUAGCUGGUCUGAGAGGAUGGUCAGCCACACUGGAACUGAGACACGGUACCGACUCCUACGGGAGGCAGCAGUGGGGAAUAUUGGACAAUGGGCGCAAGCCUGAUCCAGCCAUACCGCGUGGGUGAAGAAGGCCUUCGGGUUGUAAAGCCCUUUUGUUGGGAAAGAAAAGCAGCAGGUUAAUACCCCGCUGUUCUGACGGUACCCAAAGAAUAAGCACCGGCUAACUUCGUG
Molecule: ribosomal RNA, 492 nt
Filed under: uncultured bacterium
Lineage: Bacteria
Description: partial 16S ribosomal RNA
Rfam family: Bacterial small subunit ribosomal RNA
Source: RNAcentral